GAAAUGCGAUAAAUAAUAUGAAUUGCAGAAUUCAGCGAAUCAUCGAGUUUUUGAACGCACAUUGCGCCCUCUGGUAUUCCGGAGGGCAUGUCCGACCGAGCGUCGCGUCACCGCUCAGGCCCGCAUCCGGGCCUGGUGUUGGGGCGUGCGGGCGUCCUUUCGCCCGCAGCCCUCAAAUGCAGUGGCGGUCCCCUACCGUGGGCUUCCCCUAGUGCAGUAGAGCAUUUUUGCUGUCGCUUCGGGCCCUCUAGGAGACCUGCCGUCAAAACCCCCCAACUGGGCGGGCCCCCGGGCUCGUCCUUCUCCAGGUUGGCCUCGGGUCGGACAAGACUACCCGCUGAACUUAA
This 347-nucleotide unclassified non-coding RNA is filed under the name uncultured Sordariomycetes. RNAcentral describes it as "sequence contains ITS1". The stretch from base 1 to 105 matches the Rfam family "5.8S ribosomal RNA", at positions 50 to 154 of the family's 154-position model. The record is from RNAcentral. Lineage: Eukaryota; Fungi; Ascomycota; Sordariomycetes.